Molecule: ribosomal RNA, 497 nt
Filed under: uncultured bacterium
Lineage: Bacteria
Description: partial 16S ribosomal RNA
Rfam family: Bacterial small subunit ribosomal RNA
Source: RNAcentral
GAUGAACGCUGGCGGCGUGCCUAAUACAUGCAAGUCGAGCGAACAGACGAGGAGCUUGCUCCUCUGACGUUAGCGGCGGACGGGUGAGUAACACGUGGAUAACCUACCUAUAAGACUAGGAUAACUUCGGGAAACCGGAGCUAAUACCGGAUAAUAUAUUGAACCGCAUGGUUCAAUAGCGAAAGACGGUUUUGCUGUCACUUAUAGAUGGAUCCGCGCCGCAUUAGCUAGUUGGUAAGGUAACGGCUUACCAAGGCAACGAUGCGUAGCCGACCUGAGAGGGUGAUCGGCCACACUGGAACUGAGACACGGUCCAGACUCCUACGGGAGGCAGCAGUAGGGAAUCUUCCGCAAUGGGCGAAAGCUUGACGGAGCAACGCCGCGUGAGUGAUGAAGGUCUUCGGAUCGUAAAACUCUGUUAUUAGGGAAGAACAAAUGUGUAAGUAACUAUGCACGUCUUGACGGUACCUAAUCAGAAAGCCACGGCUAACUACGUG